AUUGAAUUUUUAAAAUUAAGAAAUCCGUGAUUUUACUUGCAGGCAUGACUGAUAAAUGGAAUUAUUUUACUUUUAUAUAGAAUAUGGACGGCACUCCAGUACAGCAUGUGCAUGGUUGGACCUGUUGACAUUUUUAGAAACGCAUCUUGGUCUAUUAUACAGAGUAUUGUUGUACUGCUCGAAAGUGCUUGUUGACAGACUGAAACCACUUGCUUGCAGCUCAUAAGGUUUACUUCUUGAGAGCAGGCAGCUACAAAAUGGAAGGUCAACAAAUCCAGUAUACUUGAAAAGCAAGAAAGAAACACCAGAAAAUAUGAAAAGACAGAAAUACAAGGGAACUUGAAUAAAAAAAAAACUUUUAAGGAUAGGAAUUCAGGAUUUACUUGGAAACUAAAUUUAUUUUGAGAGCAGUAGUGAUUGACUAAGCUCUGUUACUUUAAGAGAUAAUGUAUUAUCACAUUGGUUUUGUUAUUGUCGAGCCCGAUUGCGGAAGCGAAGACAUAGUUGUCUAAAUGUCUGUUCGGUGUAUGUGCGUGCGUGCGUCUGUCCGGAUUUGUUUGUCCAGACCAUAACUUGGACAUGCAUGGAGCAAUCUUGUUUAUAUUUUGUAUGAAUGUUAACCUCAGUGAGACGGAGUGUCAUGCACAAACCCCAGGUUCCUAUCUCAAAGGCCAAGGUCACACUUACAGGUCAAAGGUCAAAUUCAAAAAUGACUUUGUCUGGAGCAUUUCUUCUUCAUGCAUGGAAGGAUUUUGAUGUAACUUGGCACAAUUGUUCACCAUCAUGAGAUGGAGUGUGAUGCGCAAGAACCAGGUCCCUAGGUCUAAGGUCAAGGUCACACUUAGAGGUCAAAGGAUACAAGAAUGACAACUUUGUCCGGAGUAUUUCUUCUUCAUGCAUGGAGGGAUUUUGAUGUAACUUGGCACAAAUGUUCACCACCAUGAGACGGAGUGUCAUGGGGAAGAACCAGUUCCCUAGGUCUAAGAUCAAGGCCACACUUAGAGGUCAAAAGUCAGAUACAAGAAUGACUUUGUCUGGAGCAUUUCUUUUUGAUGCAUAGAGGGAUUUUGAUGUAACUUGGCACAAUUGUUCUCAUCAUGCGACGGAGGGUCAUGCAUAAGAUCUAGAAUUACUUCCCUUUGUUGUUACUAUAAAUAGCUUACAUUUGUAACUGUUUUAUUACUGGUCAUAGGGAAAAAUCAAGACCACUUUUCUGUAGUACAACAUGCAUGUUACAUCCAAUUUUCAGGUGUAUUUUGACCUAUCUCUGGUGGUGCGGAUUUUUGUGUGGACUUAGAAUUUUUAUAUAUUUUUUUUUUUUUUUUUUUUUUUUUUAAAUUUUUUUUUAAAUUUACGUUCCUUUGUUGUUACUGUAAAUAAUCUAUAUUGUAACUUUUUGCAAUCUCUUUUAUUUGGCAUAAAUGUUUGCCUCAGUGAGACAAGGAGUGUCAUGUACGACUCCCAGUCCUUUUGACAGCUGGCGGGCUCGACAUAUUGCCCAUGGGCAUCUAGUUCUCAUAAAACAUACUAAAGUUUCAUUAAUCUUAUUUUAGAUAAUUGUUUUCUGGUUUAUUUUGUAAAGAAUGUCUACUACAUUGUAAUUAACAUAGUUACAGUAAAGUAAUAUUUUUCAUGAGAUUUUAAAGAGACUGUUCUGUUAUACCCCCAUGUAGUAAGCUUGUCUGUCUUUCAGUCAGUAGGUUUUCAUGGCUUCCAGAUGAUAACUCAUGAAAAGCUUGACCGAUUUAAAUAUUUUUUGGUACAUAGGUACAGGUCAAGACGACUUUGGGGUCAGUAGGUCAAAGGUCAAGAUAACUUGCAAACGCUUUGGCCUGGGAUCAUAGCUUUUGUAACACAGGUGUAACAUGAUAAAAUACAGGUUGUUUGAAUUUGAGGUCAAUAGAUCAAAGGUCAAGGUCACAGUGA
This is a long non-coding RNA of Mercenaria mercenaria, 1926 nucleotides long. RefSeq lists it as uncharacterized. Lineage: Eukaryota; Metazoa; Mollusca; Bivalvia; Venerida; Veneridae. The transcript is spliced from 3 exons. The record is from RefSeq and is a predicted model, not a curated record.